RNAcentral lists this long non-coding RNA (6492 nucleotides) under Homo sapiens (human). RNAcentral describes it as "HSALNT0344311". Lineage: Eukaryota; Metazoa; Chordata; Mammalia; Primates; Hominidae. The record is from RNAcentral.
GUGGAAGCUACAGGCAGGGCUGAGUCGGCGGCAAGGAGCAGGACCUCCUGUUAGAAAGUCCCAGAAAGAAACAAACCCUCGGGGACCACCCAGAAGGCCAGGAUCAUCCGAGGGGCCGCCCCGUGGGGUCUCCAUGGCUGCACGUGCAUCCUGAGGCCCAAGUCCUCCUCACAGUGGCUUCACUGGGUGCUGGGACUCUGCAGGGACCGAGCUGUUGGUGCUCCAGCAUUCAGGGAGCUCCUGCCUUGGGGUGGACAGACAGCAGUUCUGGAGGUUGGGAAGUCCAAAGUCGAGUGGCCGUAUCCGGUGAGAGCCCUCCUGCAGCAUCAUCCCAUGACGGAAGGUGUCCCAUGGUGAGAGAGCACGUAUACCAGCUCAGGUCUCCCUUCCUUUUCUCAUAAGGCCACAUCCCCCAUCGGGUCCCAUCCUGAUGUCCUCAUCUAAUCCUAGUUACCUCCCAAAGGCCCCACCUCCAAUCAACAUGUGACUAUGGGGAGUAAGUUUCCAGCCUAUGAAACUGGGGGACACAUUCAAACCACAGCACCAAGCAAGCUGGAGCAGCCAAGAGGAAGCCACAUGUUCCUGCAGGGCAGGGCAGCCUCCACCAUGCAGGGCUGGGACAGGCCAGUAGGAGAGGACCUUGUCCAUUUUCUCCAUGAAAAGUCAACAUUUAUCUCUCCAAGUACAAGUCACUUCCUAAUCUUGAGAUGUGUGGAAACAAGCUCUUUAUGCUGAAAAUCAACUUCUACAUUUUAGUUCUGAGAUGUGAUUCUGCCAGCCAUGGUGGACGAGGAGGAUGGUAGGGACUUAGCUAGAGUAGCACGUCCUCACUAGACAGGGGUGGGUGGUGUGGGGAGGUGGGGGGCUUGGCCUUAGCCUGAGUGUGACGUUCAGCCUGCAUCUUGAGCACAGUGAGAGCCUGAGCCACUGCACCACUGAAGAUGCUUAGAAGAGAGACCACAGCAGGCGAGGAGGCUUCCCAGGGGUCUGCGCUGACAAACCAGGGAUGAGGGUGGCCAGCUGUGCAUGAGCCCCCCAGCGCCCAUGCAGGCGUCCCCACCUUCACCACCUAAGUGUGGUCACGCACCCAGGGAGAGCUUUCAACCUGGCUCUCUCAAGUGUGUUUCUAAACACUAGAGCCAGGAAUCCUGUCCUGUGGGUCCCUGAAACAUAACCGGUGAGCCCAAGAUCUCCUCGGAGAAACAAGGCUCCCCUUAGGGAGGGCCCAGGAACGUGGGGGCCUCUGUGAGGCAGAGGGUCCCAGAGGGUAUGACCGUUUCUGCAGAAUGGUGGCCACUCUGCAGAAACAAAAUCACAGCCCAGGAAGAGCUGCCAAAGUGGGGGCCAGGGGAGCCGGAGAGGGGGACUGAGCCAGAUGCCUGCAGAGCCGUGGCUCACAGCCUCUAGGAGGUACGCCCAUGAAUGUUUCAGAACACAUUUGAGGACUGACGUAUGUGACCAACUUUUUCUUUUGUUAAGCAAGGAUUUUUAAUCACCAUUACUGGAUUAAAGAAAAAACAUUUUGGCUGGGUGCAGUGGCUCACACCUUUAAUCCUAGCACUUUGGGAGGCUGAGGCAGGCGGAUCACUUGAGGUCAGGAGUUUGAGACCAGCCUAAGCAACAUGGCGAAAUGCCAUCUCUACUAAAAAUACAAAAAUUAGCCAGGCCUGAUGACACGCACCUGUACACCUGUAGUCCCAGCUACCUGGGAGGCUGAGGCAUGAGAAUUGCUUGAACCUGGGGAGGCGGAGGUUGCAGUGAGAUGAGAUGGUGCCACUGCACUCCAGCCUGGGUGACAGAGUGAGACUCCAUCUCAAAAUAAAUAAAUAAAUGACAUUUUAAUACCACAAUUAGGAUAAUUUCAGAAUAAAAAUUUUUUUUCUUUAAAACUUUGUAGAAAAUCCCACACACCCAAUUUGGCCUUGUCUGGGAAAUGUGAGGAUUCCUGUCUCCUGGGACAGACAGUCUCACUGCCAGGCAUCCUCCCCCUGCAGUGAUUCACAUCCUACAAUGUCUGCCCUGAUGUGUCAAUUGUAGAGUAGGUCCCUCAUGGAGGCCCAGAGGCCCCAGCCCAGAGCCCGUCUGUCAGUCAUUGGCUGAGAGUGGUUGGGACAGGUGACCCCGCAGUUGAGGCGACCCCCCACGAUCUCUGGAAAAGGCAGCUGAGCCCCAGUUGCAGCAGGUUGGGGGAGAUGGUGCUGCCACAGCACAAAGGACCUAGCCCCAGUGGCACCCACCACUGUCAGAACUCUCCACUGAGGGCCAGGGUGGAUCUUUCCUCCCACAUCCAAGCGCAUCUGACAUCUUCACCUUGAAUCCUGAGUUUCUCUCUUAACUCUGUCUCACUUUGUCAUGAACAAACUCUUUCUUGAAAGUUGUAUUUCUCUGGGGCCAGAAAGGCGAGGAAAGAGGCGCUUUCUCCUGGGAGGUGGGCCUCGUGUGUCCCUGUCGUGGCUGAGAGUGACUGCCCCAGCACCUAUGAAGAAAGCCCAGAGACUCUGGAGGCUCAGCUGGGAUAACGCCUGGCGUGCUCGGGGGUCAUGGCCACCGCCUGGACUCUGGAAAAAUGGGAAAAAUGCUCUUGGCAGACAGCGGGGCAGUCAGGAGGGAGCUGGCCCCACCAGCCCAGGCAACGCCCAAGAGCUGUCCUCCCACUCGGCUCCAGGAGACGUUUAAAUGGGGCCUGACUCCCCCAUCUCUGAUUUAAAAGAUAACCAGAAGCAGCAGAGAAAACAUCUGAAGUGCUUCCUGGACACACCUGUUAGGAAGUUUCUGCAAGAACCCAGCCCCAGCCCCAGGAAGAGAACGGCAGCAGGAAAAGUUAGAGAGGAGAGGGAGCAGGAGGUGGAGAGCUCGGCCCCUCCUUCGCUGCUGCCCUCUGGGUGACGCUCAGCGGAGGCGCCACGUAGCAGCUGCGAGAGCCCCGAGACAACCUCUGCACUGUUUAUGGGAUCGCAUUAGGGGAGCAGCGGCCCUGCAUGACCCCACAGGGCUGCCCAGGUCAGGUGCUCAGAACACAAAAGAAAGUGAGACAAAGUCGCCACCCUGGAGUUUACGAGCUGGCGUGGGAGACAGGCUGGCACUGAGGAUGACAGUGGAGAGAGAUCGGGCUGGGAAGAACCGGAGGCGCUGGGGAAGCCGGGUCAGCAGGGAGACCCCAGCAGAGUGGGAGCCGGAGGACGGCGGCGACUGCAGCCCGACUGUUUCAGGUGGCGUCCUCGUCACGAGAGGAGCUUGAGCGGGUCGUGGCCUUCCUGGCAACCUGCCUACAGAGAAAACGAUUGCUGGGUGCAGAUGUCUCGAACAUUUAUUGCAUUCCACGUUGUCAGUCAAUAAAACAGCUUUGCGAGCGUAAUACUGACAAAAUCAAGUUCAGGCGGUAAGCCCCAGGGCUUCCAAGAAAAGUGGAUCGGGGGGCUUGCUCAGCUCUGGUAUCCAGGGGGGGCCACUGCCUGGUUCCCAGGCAAAGGAGUACAAACUGCCGGGAGAAACAAGGACCCUGCAGGAAGAAGGGACCUGCCCGACUUGUUCCCCCGCACCCACAUCAGGAAUUUUCCCAGAAAGCCAUCCACUUUGUUAGAGACAAAAUAAAGGUCAUUUGGAGAAAAACCUGCCAGCAGCUGCUGCUGCUUGAAAAUAGAAAAGAUUUUAAAAGUAGCAGUGUUGGGAGGCCAAGGCAGGCAGAUCACCUGAGGUCAGGAGUUCGAGACCAGCCUGGCCAACAUGGCGAAACCCCGUCUCUACUAAAAAUAGAAAAAUUAGCUGGGCAUGGUGGUGAGCACCUGUAAUCCCAGCUACUCGGGAGGCUGAGGCAGGAGAAUCACUUAAACCUGGGAGGCGAAGAUUGCAAUGAGCUGAGAUUGUGCCACUGCACUCCAGCCUGGGCAACAGAGCAGGACAUCGUCUCAAAAAAAAAAAAAAAAUGCAGCAGUGGUUUGAAAUCAUGCAUUUUUAUGUGUUAUCCUCAAACAUCUGAGGGAGAUAAGAAAGAAUAUACCACGGAUGAGAAUAUUUAUAAUUAUCAGAAAAAAAACUGCCUCCUAGGAACAAUCCUGUGAGCUCCAUCAUCAAAUCUGAUUCAGAAGCCUCCAAAUCCCCUACUUGCCCUGGCAGCUGCUACCCACCUCACAGCUGUCCUUUGCAGAUUACUACAAAUGUUCUCUUAAAUAUUCAUUUAUCCCCCAGCAUUGACAGGUCCUCCUUCCCACCAGACAUGAGGAUUUUAACUUGAUCAUCUCUGCAAAGACCUUAUCUUCAAAUACAGUUACAUUCUGAAGUCCUGGGGGUUAGGGCUGCAACACCCGAAUUGGUGGAGACAAAAUCCAGCUCCUGACAAUACCGCGUAUGAUAGCUGCGUCUCUGCCUGCAGUACUGUUUUCCAGGGAAAGCAUCUUUGAGUGUAUUCAGAAAGCCUCUCUCUGGGGCCAGGCCUUGCAGAGAAUCCUUCAGAAACUGGACAACCCCACCCAAGGCAGUCAGUGGGGAGGACACAUUUGGUGCCUCAUUGGUCCCUGGAUCUGCCUCACAGUCCUCAAUGUUCCUCCUCGUUCCCUCUACUCUUUCUCCUCUUUGGUUGACCUUGAAGCUCAUUCCUGGUGAAGGCCCCGUGGGAGCAGUGCAAUGACAAGAGGAGCCUGUUUUCAAUAGCACCCUCACGCUCUCCAGGGGUCCAUUGGAGGCGCCUAUGACCUCCUGAUGCUGAGGAGCCUAGAGUGGGCAGCCCUCGGGCCCAGGCUCCACCUGGGUGAGGCCUGUUUUAUUAUCAAUACUCACCACAGUCAUUUGUGGGAGUGUAAUGCUCAUAUUCCCAUUUAAGAGAUGAAUAAACUGAGGCAAGGUGAAGUGACUCAGCUGAGGCCACACCACAGUUUAAUGGGGAAGCCAGGAUAAGAGCUGGCGGCUUCUAUGUCUGAUCUACACUCUGAUGGGAGGUCGUCAGAGAGCCAUGUAAACGGUGAGGAGGUGACAUGCUGGUCCCUUCCAUAAAAGCUGUUUUGCAAAAUUAAAACACACACACAGUAAAGAUCCAGAUUUAUGCAAGUGAGAGUGAGGGGCUGACUAUUUACCAGUCAACAGAUCUCCCCAAAUGGUUCUCUGCUUGGGGUUGAGAUGCUCCUGACCAGCAGGGCUUGGGGAGAGACAUUCUUGCUCCCCCUAGAGCUGGCUGACCCAUACCCAGGGGAUUCUGAGCACCAGGGGCUGGGAGCAGCAUGUACCACGUGUUUCCCAAGAGUUAGUCAUGUUUGCUCCUAAAACUUAUUGUAAUCGAGGAAUCUAAUUAAACAAUACACCAACUGAAGAAACAGUGCAAAAAGAAUGAGUGACUGUUUCUAUGAAAACUUAGAUGAACUACUUUGGAAAGAUUCAAUAAAAAGCAUGCCUAAAUACAUAUACUGGGGCCAGGAGCAGUGAUUCACACUUGUAACCCCAGUGCUUUGGGAGGCUGAGGUGGGAGGGUGGCUUGAGGCUAGGAGUUUGAAACCAGCCUAGGCAACAUAGCAAGACCCUGUCUCUACAAAAAAACAAAAAUUUUUCAACUGGUUGUGGCAGCACCUGCCUAUGGUCCCAGCUGCUCUGGAAGCUGAGGUGAGAGGAUCACUCGAGCCCAGGAGUUCAGGCUGCAGUGAGCCGCAAGUGUGCCACUGCACUCCACCCUGGGCAACAGAGCAAGACCCUGUCUCUAAAAAAAUAAAUAAAAUAUGUACAUCCAGAUACAGUAUUAUGUGUGGGCGAGACACCGGUAAAAGAUGGAAACAAUCAUAAAAGUCAGGCAGGAUUCCACCUAAGAUUGUCUUUAGCUCUCAAUCUACCUUGUUUUAAAAUUUUUUUAUGAGCCAUAAAAGACCUAAGACUAGUCUUUAUUGUACAACUUGAUGAAUUCUGAUCCUGUGGCCAUACAGUUCAAAAUAGAGCAUUCUAGCACUCAGAAAGCUCCCUAGUGCCCUCAUCAGUUGGUGCCUGUCAACCCCAAGGAUGUCAUAGUCAUUUGGACACCCCUGGCACAGUCAUUCCACUUAGAGACUCUGCCAGAAGUCCCAGAUCAUAAUCAGGAGUGAAAUUUACACAAGAAGGGGCCGGAAGCCCUAGUGAGUAGUGAACUCAACUCCAAAAUAACCCUACACUAAAAAUAAAACUGGAACGUACUUUUUAUGUUUGAAAUUUAAAUAAGAUAGAUGUAUUUUUGUUAAAUCGUUCCAACCUGUACAACUUUUCUAUUCAUCAGCCAACUAGCCAGAGAAAGGGGGUUUCUGCUGCUGUCAGAGUAUAAAAAUGAGCUGCAAUUUUCAAAAUUUGACCUCAUCUAACUUUCUCCAGCUAUGCCAUUCCUGGAGCAUCCUCAGUCCAGUGCCUGAUGCGUAAAACAUAAUAAAAAGGUGACCCCACCACACCAAACACUGGGGUGUCUGUAGCAGUGACCGCGUCUCACGGGGAUUUUGUCUGAAUGCCUGUUCCUCCACUCGCCUAAUCCAUGGAGGUCAGGGAACCACGCAC